Parelaphostrongylus tenuis is the source of this 74-nucleotide non-coding RNA. NCBI's taxonomy places the organism in Eukaryota, Metazoa, Nematoda, Chromadorea, Rhabditida, Metastrongylidae. The record is from the annotation of a GenBank genome assembly.
GCCUCCGUGGUAUAGUGAUAGAGCACGCGUCAACCCCGUAUGAUGAAACGCGGGUUCGAUUUCUGCCUGAGGCU